CACGAGCCUCUUCCUCAGGCAGAGCUCACACCGAGCCGCUCCUCAAAGAACUGGCAGAGCGCACCUGAGGGCCUGUGCAUAUAUCAGCUCCGCGCCACCCGGGAGAUUGACAUGAUAAUUGCGCUGGCUCUGAGAAGCACACAGGCUUCUGGGAAUUCUGGCCGGCCUGGUAGCGAGCGAACGCUUGGCUUGGGAUACGGUUAACAUCAGCGAGCUUCAAGGCAGCGGCGCUCUCUGAGGACAGCCGUAUCAUGUCAGAUGUCCUCGGGGAGAGAAGGGUGGAGGAGAUUGAAAAGUGAACCAGGGAAAGGAGGAUCCCAGAAAGUGACGGCACAGGAGCAGGAGGUAAACAGCCGAGUCGAGCGGUGGCGUGGCAGUGAGGAGGAGUGCGGUCUGAUGAAGAAAGAACUGGCAGCUCUGCAGCACAGACUGGGGAAUAAGAGUAGACAACUUAAGGUCUGGACAAAUUUACACUGGCACCACUUUUAAAGCUCUGCCUCUGUGCCUGUGACUCCGGGAAGAGAGGGAGGGGAAAAACUGACAAGCCCCUGGAGGCAAUCGCCUACGGCCUCAGAACCCCGGAUCGGGGCGCCAGCGACAGCAGAGCUCCGAAAAGCAGCUAACUUUCUCGAAUAAAUACUUAAUGAUGGCCAAGCAGGGGAAAAAGUGCGUAUGUGAUGUGACUUCUCCUUAAUUACCUUCUGAUGGGACUGGCAUGAUUAAUUGAUAAACUCAGCAUCAAAGGCAGGCUGGCAGGACUAAUGGGCCUGUGGAGGAGCUCUUCUCAUUAGAGCUAAAGAUGGCCUUCCUGCGUGGGUUUGGUUUGGCUUGCCCUGUCAGCGCAGGUAAGCUCCAGACGCCUCUCUCCGGCCCUGCCUGCUCAUCCCAGCACUGCGACCGUCUCUCGCUCUCUCUCCCCCGGCAGGAAGUGUGGAGGAGGCCAGGCGUGCCCUACAGGAAGCCAGACAACAAUUAGAUGCUCAGCACUCGGCCUCUCAGGCGGAGCUGGAGAGAUUGUGGGACCAAGAGGCCCUCAGCAGUUCCAGAGUCAAGAUUUGGAAAAGGAGCUGUUCAGAAGCAGACAGGACGAGCUGGAGACUGCUUUGUCCCUUCAGCUUUCUGCCGAAGAACGGGAAGAAGUCUGCCAAAUCAAUGUGUCCGUGUCCAGGCGUGAGCUCCAGGACCUGCAGCGUCUGUACAGGCCCGGCUCCUUCAGCAGCAGGAGGGCCUUAACCUGGACACGCAGAGAGUCCUGCGCAGCCGAGAGGAGGCCCACACGGCACACACCGUCUCCUUCCAGAAGCUCCACAGCGAGCUGAGCGUGUCAUACCAAGCCCAGGAAGAGCUCUGCCAGAGAGAUCAGCAGAUCCGAGAGCUCCAGGCACAGCUGCGGAGCUUCACAGCAGCCGUGGGGCACGCGAGAACGCCGGGAGUGAGAUGAGCAAACACUGGGCUGCUAACAAGAGCCUGAGGGCUCAGUUAGAUGAAAGAGAUCAGACGCUGAAGGAGCUGCACCAGAGGUAAAUGCUCUCUUUCACCCUUCUGCGGUCUUUCUCUUUCCCGUGCUGCGCGUCACGUGGGCAGCGUCUGAUUCCACCGUGCGGCCGACUCCAGCAGCGUCUCUAGAUCUCCAGACCCGUGAAGCUGGCUGUGGAUAGAGACA
Long non-coding RNA from Cyprinus carpio carpio, 1663 nucleotides. The record is from Ensembl. NCBI's taxonomy places the organism in Eukaryota, Metazoa, Chordata, Actinopteri, Cypriniformes, Cyprinidae.